This 695-nucleotide long non-coding RNA is filed under the name Olea europaea subsp. europaea. The record is from RNAcentral. Lineage: Eukaryota; Viridiplantae; Streptophyta; Magnoliopsida; Lamiales; Oleaceae.
GGCCAAUCGAUAGCUACUCCACGUAUUCCUCCCUGCGCACAAUCAACGCACGGUCAAAUGUACACGGCCGGAACCAACGGGGGCGGCGGCGUCGCAUACACUCCGACAGUUAAGUUAGCUCAUGGUGAUCCGAACAGUGCCAAGGUUGUGGAAAAAGGGCGGGGAGGAGAAUAUAUAUUUGCUUGUUAUGCAGAGCUAAGUUGUAAGAAUUUCAUUACCUUUGCCUCUUGUCAAACCUUGGGUAUUUAUAGUUGAGGAGAACCGUUGGAUGUGGGACAUGUGUAUGUAUCUGACAGUGUGAGGCAUCUGCUCAUAGGCAUCAAUCAGCUGCGUCUAUAGAGUUUGGGGGUAAUUACUUCUCCCGAAUUGAGUUGACAUAAAGUUGAUACGUCACAUCAACUAGGCUCAUGGAGAUGUCAAAUGAAUUAAACCUUGGGGACAGAAAGGAUCUUGACACAGAUCUCUUUCUAGAAUUAGCGGCGUAUCCUCUGAAGAGAACCUUGGAAUGUACUUCACCUCGGCUUCAGGGACAAGGACGCUUCGGUUGGUUCAGUAGAUUGUCUGUGCCUCGCAGUGCGUUAGCAGAUUGACAACAUUGGUGGUGGCGUCACUUCGAAACCACUUCGGAUGGGUAUUGAACACCUCGUAUAAUGCGGUGGUAGACUUUUCGAAGUGGUUCAGAUAGGGGCGUAACA